CCUACGGGAGACAGCAGUGGGGAAUAUUGGUCAAUGGCCGGAAGGCUGAACCAGCCAAGCCGCGUGAAGGACGAAGGUGCCAAGCAUUGUAAACUUCUUUUGUCAAGGGACAAAAUCAGGCUCGAGCGCCUGACCGAGGGUCCUUGAAGUACAAGCAUCGGCUAACUCCGUGCCAGCAGCCGCGGUAAUACGGGGGAUGCGAGCGUUAUCCGGAUUUAUUGGGUUUAAGGGGUGCGUAGGCGGGCUGUUACGUCAGCGGUAAAAGCCCGGGGCUCAACCCCGGCGAGCCGUUGAAACUGGGUGUCUUGAGAUGUCGAGAGGCAUGCGGAAUGCGGAGUGUAGCGGUGAAAUGCUUAGAUAUUGCGCAGAACUCCGAGUGCGAAGGCAGAAUACCGGCGGCGAUCUGACGCUGAGGCACGAAAGCGUGGGGAGCGAACAGGAUUAGAUACCCGUGUAGUC
Molecule: ribosomal RNA, 459 nt
Filed under: uncultured bacterium
Lineage: Bacteria
Description: partial 16S ribosomal RNA
Rfam family: Bacterial small subunit ribosomal RNA
Source: RNAcentral